CCAUCUCCAUGUUCCACCAGUGUUCCGCGGCACCACCACCAGCAGACCAACGUAAAUUUUAAAGCAGCAGCCUUGCGCAGCAAUUAGAAGCGGAGUUUUCCUUUUUUUGCACAAACUAAACUAACAGAAAAAUCAUGUCUAAGAGGGGCGGAUCACCAGUUGAACAUGCUGAUGAACAACCGGAAAAAAGAAGUAAAAAUGCAGCCACCUCUACAGAACUAGACAAACAGAACGCUAAUCUUGAAUCAGAUGCUCGAAUUGGCACCUUCUUCACCCCGGUAUCCGUUUCGCGGCCCGAGGCUGAAGACCUGGCAGGAGCUCCCAAAAAAUAAAAAUAGCGUAUAUACUGUAUAUUUAGAAGCCAGGUCCCCCCACCGCAUCUUCUGCACAGAGAGUUCUCUUUAGAGAAAUAUGGUUUCACCGCGAGCGUGGGUUAUGUGUUUAAUUAUCACAGGGGGGAGGUGGGUUUUUAUCAAAUUUGCGACAACGAGCAGUUUUUAACCGACACUCCUCAGUCCAUCAUUAAAUAUGAGGACUGGUUGGUUCUAAUCGCGUUACUCCCGCUAGAUGAGUUUAUCCCAAAAACGAGCCCUGACUCUGAAAAAAACAAAAAUCGAGUUCUUAUCUGGAGCAAUCCUCCCACAAAAUCCAAGAUCGCUCAGAAAAAAGAGUUGUACAAAGCUUCCUGGACAUCCGACACCUGUCACAACGGGGUGUGGAAAUUGCAGGCGAGCAUUUAUGAAAAUGACCAUCUGCAUCCUCAUAAUAUGUUUGUGCU
Molecule: long non-coding RNA, 778 nt
Organism: Austrofundulus limnaeus
Lineage: Eukaryota; Metazoa; Chordata; Actinopteri; Cyprinodontiformes; Rivulidae
Exons: 3
Source: RefSeq, a predicted model, not a curated record